AUACGGAGGGUGCAAGCGUUAAUCGGAAUUACUGGGCGUAAAGCGCGCGUAGGCGGUUUAGUCAGUCAGAUGUGAAAGCCCCGGGCUCAACCUGGGAACUGCAUUUGAUACUGCUGAACUAGAGUAUGGUAGAGGGAAGUGGAAUUCCGGGUGUAGCGGUGAAAUGCGUAGAUAUCCGGAGGAACACCAGUGGCGAAGGCGACUUCCCGGACCAAUACUGACGCUGAGGUGCGAAAGCGUGGGUAGCAAACAGGAUUAGAAACCCUAGUAGUCC
RNAcentral lists this ribosomal RNA (274 nucleotides) under uncultured bacterium. Its description in RNAcentral is "partial 16S ribosomal RNA". It matches the Rfam family "Bacterial small subunit ribosomal RNA", at positions 523 to 796 of the family's 1533-position model. The record is from RNAcentral.